Molecule: ribosomal RNA, 832 nt
Filed under: uncultured Bacteroidota bacterium
Lineage: Bacteria; Pseudomonadati; Bacteroidota
Description: bacterial SSU rRNA
Rfam family: Bacterial small subunit ribosomal RNA
Source: RNAcentral
GCAAUCUACCUUUUGCAGAGGGAUAGCCCAGAGAAAUUUGGAUUAAUACCUCAUAGUAUAACACAACCGCAUGGUUGAGUUAUUAAAGUCACAACGGCAAAAGAUGAGCAUGCGUCCCAUUAGCUAGAUGGUAAGGUAACGGCUUACCAUGGCAACGAUGGGUAGGGGUCCUGAGAGGGAGAUCCCCCACACUGGUACUGAGACACGGACCAGACUCCUACGGGAGGCAGCAGUGAGGAAUAUCGGUCAAUGGGCGCAAGCCUGAACCAGCCAUGCCGCGUGCAGGAUGACGGUCCUAUGGAUUGUAAACCGCUUUUGUACGAGAAGAAACAACAUUACGUGUAAUGUCUUGACGGUAUCGUAAGAAUAAGGAUCGGCUAACUCCGUGCCAGCAGCCGCGGUAAUACGGAGGAUCCAAGCGUUAUCCGGAAUCAUUGGGUUUAAAGGGUCCGUAGGCGGUUUGGUAAGUCAGUGGUGAAAGCCCAUCGCUCAACGGUGGAACGGCCAUUGAUACUGCCAGACUUGAAUAAUUAGGAAGUAACUAGAAUAUGUAGUGUAGCGGUGAAAUGCUUAGAGAUUACAUGGAAUACCAAUUGCGAAGGCAGGUUACUACUAGUUUAUUGACGCUGAUGGACGAAAGCGUGGGUAGCGAACAGGAUUAGAUACCCUGGUAGUCCACGCCGUAAACGAUGGAUACUAGCUGUUGGGGGCAACUUCAGUGGCUAAGCGAAAGUGAUAAGUAUCCCACCUGGGGAGUACGUUCGCAAGAAUGAAACUCAAAGGAAUUGACGGGGGCCCGCACAAGCGGUGGAGCAUGUGGUUUAAUUCGAUG